UACGGAGGGCGCGAGCGUUACUCGGAAUUACUGGGCGUAAAGCGCGCGUAGGCUGUUGUGUAAGUUGGGGGUGAAAUCCCACGGCUCAACCGUGGAACAGCCCUUGAUACUGCGCGACUUGAAUCCGAGAGAGGGUGGCGGAAUUCCAGGUGUAGGAGUGAAAUCCGUAGAUAUCUGGAGGAACAUCAGUGGCGAAGGCGGCCACCUGGACCGGUAUUGACGCUGAGGCGCGAAAGCGUGGGGAGCAAACAGG
RNAcentral lists this ribosomal RNA (253 nucleotides) under uncultured bacterium. RNAcentral describes it as "partial 16S ribosomal RNA". It matches the Rfam family "Bacterial small subunit ribosomal RNA", at positions 524 to 776 of the family's 1533-position model. The record is from RNAcentral.